RNAcentral lists this ribosomal RNA (489 nucleotides) under uncultured bacterium. Its description in RNAcentral is "bacterial SSU rRNA". It matches the Rfam family "Bacterial small subunit ribosomal RNA", at positions 501 to 986 of the family's 1533-position model. The record is from RNAcentral.
CUACGUGCCAGCAGCCGCGGUAAUACGUAGGGCGCGAGCGUUGUCCGGAAUUAUUGGGCGUAAAGAGCUUGUAGGCGGUUUGUCGCGUCUGCUGUGAAAGGCCGGGGCUUAACUCCGUGUAUUGCAGUGGGUACGGGCAGACUAGAGUGCAGUAGGGGAGACUGGAAUUCCUGGUGUAGCGGUGGAAUGCGCAGAUAUCAGGAGGAACACCGAUGGCGAAGGCAGGUCUCUGGGCUGUAACUGACGCUGAGAAGCGAAAGCAUGGGGAGCGAACAGGAUUAGAUACCCUGGUAGUCCAUGCCGUAAACGUUGGGCACUAGGUGUGGGGGACAUUCCACGUUUUCCGCGCCGUAGCUAACGCAUUAAGUGCCCCGCCUGGGGAGUACGGCCGCAAGGCUAAAACUCAAAGAAAUUGACGGGGGCCCGCACAAGCGGAGGAACAUGUGGUUUAAUUCGAUGAUACGCGAGGAACCUUACCCGGGCUUGAAC